AUGAAUGAGCGUUCCUGUUGCUCCACAUGCCCACCAGCACUCGAUGUUGUCAGGGUUCUGGAUUUUGGCCAUUCUCAUAGAAUGGGAAGUGUUGGCAACACCGGCAUCAGAUUCCUACAUGGCAACAACCGGCCAGCAUUAAGGGGCAGCCCCUUCCUUUGGAUGGGUUGUGGGACUGUCAGGUACCAGCCCCUCGGUCACACCCGUGUGCAUCCCAGCAGUGGAGUGAGUGUGAGCUGCCCUUUCUUGGUACAGUCACAUUCACUUAUCUUAGUUGUCCUAUAUUGUAUAUUAUAUAAUUAUAUAUUAUUAGGUAUUUUAUAUUGUGUAUUAUGUAUAUUUAUAUUCUGUAUUACUAUAUACAUUAGGCAUUUGGGGAAUUUUUUCCCCCAAAGUAUUAACUGUCCCUAACUUUUCACUAAAGGAUUCCUCUAGUAAGAAUUUAUACUAAGAGAAAACUUAGAGUUGAUUUCAGAUUUUUAUGCAAAGAUAGCAUUAUCACACUAAUCAUAGUACUGAAACAUUGGAAGCAACCUGAAUGCCCAACAAUAAAGGAAUGGUAGAAUAAAUUAGAAUAUAUUCAUGUAGUGGGAUAAUAUGUAAUCAUUGAAAAUUCAUUUUUAUGGUAUCAGAUGGCCACUGCGUAGCCACUGUGUGUAUCCUCCAACUCUAAAACGCUGUGUGGAGGAGACUUGCAGCAAGUGUUGGGCAGCGUGUGUGUGUCUGAUGCACAUGCACCCCCGGCCAUGUCUGCUGCUGGGAAAGGGGGUGCAGCUGUGAGAGAGUUUUCUGUUUGUUUUUUUUUUUCCCCCCUGUGUGCUUUUCCAAACAGCUGUAAAUUUCCCUGUUUCUUUCAGAGUUUAUGAUGAUGGUGUUAACUGUGAAAGAAUAUAGGGCCUCAUAAAGUCACCCAAGGUUGACAAACAUGUAUUUUGUGAAUGUGUAGAAUUCUUUGUGAAUUGAUUUAUUUUCCUUUCUUUCAUUUCAGCUUUUAAAGUUCUGUAAACGGGCGCCUGGGUGGCUCAUUUGGUUAAGCGUCCACCUCCGGCUCAGAUCUUCAUUCUAGGGUCCUGGGAAUGGAGCCCCACAUCGGGCUCUCUGCUCAACGGAGAGUCUGCUUUUCUCUCUCUCUGCCCCUCCCCCCAAUUCGUUCUCUGUCUUUCUCUCUCAUGCUUGCUUUCUCCCAAAUAAAUAAAUAAAAUAAAAGUUUUGUAAACAAUUUUGUUCAUCC
Molecule: long non-coding RNA, 1231 nt
Filed under: Mustela putorius furo (domestic ferret)
Lineage: Eukaryota; Metazoa; Chordata; Mammalia; Carnivora; Mustelidae
Description: lncRNA (ENSMPUG00000027646.1)
Source: RNAcentral